RNAcentral lists this ribosomal RNA (80 nucleotides) under Pseudocercospora eumusae. Its description in RNAcentral is "partial 28S ribosomal RNA". Lineage: Eukaryota; Fungi; Ascomycota; Dothideomycetes; Mycosphaerellales; Mycosphaerellaceae. The record is from RNAcentral.
GUUGACCUCGGAUCAGGUAGGGAUACCCGCUGAACUUAAGCAUAUCAAUAAGCAGAGAAAAUUAGGAGGGGGGGCUCGCC